AGAGUUUGAUCCUGGCUCAGGAUGAACGCUGGCGGCGUGCCUAACACAUGCAAGUCGAACGGAAAUUACAGAAGGAAGUUUUCGGAUGGAAUUUUGUGAUUUUAGUGGCGGACGGGUGAGUAACACGCGGGUAACCUGCCCUGUACCGGGGGAUAACAGUUGGAAACGGCUGUUAAUACCGCAUAAGCGCACAGCUUCGCAUGAAGCAGUGUGAAAAACUCCGGUGGUACAGGAUGGACCCGCGUCUGAUUAGCUUGUUGGCGGGGUAACGGCCCACCAAGGCGACGAUCAGUAGCCGGCCUGAGAGGGUGAACGGCCACAUUGGGACUGAGACACGGCCCAGACUCCUACGGGAGGCAGCAGUGGGGAAUAUUGCACAAUGGAGGAAACUCUGAUGCAGCGACGCCGCGUGAGCGAUGAAGUAUUUCGGUAUGUAAAGCUCUAUCAGCAGGGAAGAUAAUGACGGUACCUGACUAAGAAGCCCCGGCUAACUACGUGCCAGCAGCCGCGGUAAUACGUAGGGGGCAAGCGUUAUCCGGAUUUACUGGGUGUAAAGGGGGCGCAGACGGCGAUGCAAGUCUGAAGUGAAAUCCCACGGCUCAACUGUGGAAUUGCUUUGGAAACUGUAUUGCUUGAGUGCUGGAGAGGUAAGCGGAAUUCCUGGUGUAGCGGUGAAAUGCGUAGAUAUCAGGAAGAACAUCAGUGGCGAAGGCGGCUUACUGACAGCCACUGACGUGAGACGGAAGCGUGGGGAGCCAAACAGAAUUAGAAUACCCU
This 777-nucleotide ribosomal RNA is filed under the name uncultured bacterium. RNAcentral describes it as "bacterial SSU rRNA". It matches the Rfam family "Bacterial small subunit ribosomal RNA", at positions 8 to 788 of the family's 1533-position model. The record is from RNAcentral.